Molecule: long non-coding RNA, 1384 nt
Filed under: Geospiza fortis (medium ground-finch)
Lineage: Eukaryota; Metazoa; Chordata; Aves; Passeriformes; Thraupidae
Description: lncRNA (ENSGFOG00000008162.1)
Source: RNAcentral
UAUGAUACUCCACAAAUUGAUGAUGAUGAUGAUGAUGAUGAUUCCUCUGACACUUCUCAAGGUGAUGAGGGGUUUGACACCUUGCAGGUGGGGGAUGAUACACCAGAGCCAGAAUUGGCUGGAAGAUCAGUUCCAUUUGGUUUUCUGGAGGAGAGAGGUGGUCGAAUAACCCUAAAAGAAGAGACCAGCUCUUUUCAAGAACUUGCUGCUAAUGCUGGAGAGAAUGUUCAUGUAAAUGUGAAAGGGCAACCCGAGAGCAUAACUAUAGCUUCUGCAAAUGCCAAAACUGUGGAGAAAAUCCUUGAGGGAAGGGAAAGAACAGGGAGUUUUGGAGAGAAGGAGCAUGAGUUAUCAGUUACUGUUGAGAGUGAAGGAACAAAGGAAGGAGGCAUGAGCUAUUUACAGAAUAUGUAUGAAGCAGAUGUACAAGACAGGAAUGAGGAAGUUGAAAUGAAAGCAGAAGGUGACCUGUGUGAGGAGGAAUCUGAAGGUACACAGGAGGGGGAAGAUUAUGAGGAGGAUUAUGAUAGUUAUGAUGACUCUGACACUGAUUCUGACAGUGAAGAUGAAAUGGAUAUUUUUGAUUCACAUCACCAAUGUAUAAGUAAAGGUGACCAGCUGUUAAUGUCUGUAGAAGAUGUAGAAAGGAGCACUGAAAACAAUCAGAAUAUUGAUGACUACUGCUAUUCUUUAGGCCACAAGACAGGAUAUACUUUGCAAUUCCAGUCUAACCAUGAAAAUGGAAACCUAUCCUCAGUAAUAUGUGAAUCAAUGUCAAAUAUUUCUGAAGAAAGAUAUGUUGGUCUUUCAUGUACCAGUGAAGAAGCCAGACAGCAGGAAACAGAAGAUGAAUAUGGGACUUGUGUCAAAAGUGAACACAUGCCACAAAAUACUGCUGAGUCUAUUCGGUCUGAAAAUACUUUUGACACUAAAUGGAUGUCCACAAAGAGUGAGGAGAAUACUGAAACACAGUUUAGGGUUCCAGGUUCUCAGCUUCUUGAUGGUACUGUGAAAUCUGACAUUAGUGUGACAGCCUACCUACAGCAAGCUGAUGAUGCCCAAAGUACCUGGACAAAUUUGCUUGUCUCAGAAUUCUUUACUGAUAGCAUGAAUGAAGACAAUAAUACCAUGCCAAUGUUAGAUUCAAAUCAUGGUCAAAGACAGAGAGAGGCACUGCUUGCAGAGGAAAAAGUAUUAAAUUAUAUGGAACAGCUAAAGGAAAGCUCAUCCCAAAUGGACAAUAAAUUCCUUACAGAUACUCCUUAUGUGAGUGAUAAUAGUUCACUUAGGGACCCAACACAUCCAGGCACCAGUUGGAAGCAUGGUCAAAUAGAAAGAGGUUUUGAAAUUCUUACAGAAAAUAAAAAUAGAGUAAAUGUUAUGG